This is a non-coding RNA of Phasianus colchicus (ring-necked pheasant), 1108 nucleotides long. NCBI's taxonomy places the organism in Eukaryota, Metazoa, Chordata, Aves, Galliformes, Phasianidae. The record is from RefSeq and is a predicted model, not a curated record.
CCAUCUUCAGGUUAUUCUAAUUUAAGUAAUUGUUUAAUGAGUCAGGAGAAGACUGAUUCUUAGCUUGAACAUUCAAGUGUGAUGUGAGAGGCUGGGUCUGGCUUUGUUUGGUUGCAGAUUCUUCUUCCUCACGUUGCUGAGUACGAUAUGUUACGACCUUCAGUACCUUUCCUGUGUCUUUUAAGGAUUUCCUCAGCCAGGGAACACAUUCGUUGUUUUAAGAGUAACUGUAAAGAAUCUGCAAGAGCUUCCAUCACCCAUCGAUAGAAGAAUUAAACUUUGCUGCACUCCAGCUAGCUAGGUUUGAGAGCAGAGCCUUGCAGCUCUGACCACAAUGUGUGGCGAACACUUCAUAGGCAGUCGUUGUCCCAGAGAACCUGGCCAUUCAGGCAGAUGGAGGACUGGAGGGGAAAGAGACACUGUCAGAAGAAGCGUUGUGGGGUGCAGCAAGAGAAGGAUGGAGCUGUGACUGCCAAGUCAGGGGCAGUUUUUCAGUUGGCACAAAAAAAUCAAUAAUAAUUUUAACUGAAUAAAUACUAAUUUUGUUUCCAGGACAAAAAGAAUAGUUAGUAUGAAGAAUGUGUAAAUUUCCUGUGUAUUUCUAGUGAAUAUUUAAUAUAAUGCAAUUAGAGGAUGGCUAAGAAUUAUAUGGCUUUUAAAAACCAACAAAUAAAUGGACUCCUGUUUUCAUGAUAUGAUUCACCCAUCUACAAUUACUUCUGAAAUUCGAGUUAGAAAGCAAGAUCUGAAAUGUCUAAACCUGUUUCAGAACGUUGUGCUUAUGCUCAGUAUGCAUCACCUGGGCUCAGGGCGGGACACCAGAGGUGUGCAUCUUGCAUAUAGAUCAAGCCAUAUAAACAGUGCUAUCUAAGAUAACGUGGCAUUCAUUAAGAACCAGGAAGACUUUUUUUAAAAAAUAACUGUUUUGCAACAAAUUAUGUGGCUUAGUGUUGCAGAAAGUUUGUCAGACACAGAGUAUAUUAUGCAAAAGUACCUGGUUUACCUGAUAUGAACUUCUGUAUCUGGAAGGAGUACAGCUAUGUCAAUCUGCUGUUCUGCUUGGGCUAAUUUAUCUUAAUUUAGAUUUAGCCUGACUAUUCCAACGCAG